This 47-nucleotide non-coding RNA is filed under the name unclassified sequences. The record is from RNAcentral.
AUCGUUCAACCCAAAAGGGUCGCAAGUAAGCCGACACGGAACGGAUA